GGCCGUCUUAGACGCGACUAGCGGUAUCGUAAAAAGCACUUCGCACGCUUGAAUGAAACUCGACAGAAAAGGGAGAGAAACUGUCCGAAAGGUGGCAAAAGGGUUGAACGGGCAAGCCGGCCACCUUUUGACGCUUCUCCGCCGACGAAAACUCGUUUGCAGACCGCAUGACACACCGUUAAUUGGGCCUCGAAACGCCUGCAGCCUCCGUGCAC
RNAcentral lists this unclassified non-coding RNA (215 nucleotides) under Bombus terrestris (buff-tailed bumblebee). Its description in RNAcentral is "misc RNA ENSBTSG00005038797.1". Lineage: Eukaryota; Metazoa; Arthropoda; Insecta; Hymenoptera; Apidae. The record is from RNAcentral.